This 940-nucleotide ribosomal RNA is filed under the name uncultured bacterium. Its description in RNAcentral is "bacterial SSU rRNA". It matches the Rfam family "Bacterial small subunit ribosomal RNA", at positions 553 to 1504 of the family's 1533-position model. The record is from RNAcentral.
ACUGGGCUUAAAGAGUUCGUAGGUUGUUGAAAAAGUUGGUGGUGAAAUCCCAGAGCUUAACUCUGGAACUGCCAUCAAAACUUUUCAGCUAGAGUAUGAUAGAGGAAAGCAGAAUUUCUAGUGUAGAGGUGAAAUUCGUAGAUAUUAGAAAGAAUACCAAUUGCGAAGGCAGCUUUCUGGAUCAUUACUGACACUGAGGAACGAAAGCAUGGGUAGCGAAGAGGAUUAGAUACCCUCGUAGUCCAUGCCGUAAACGAUGUGUGUUAGACGUUGGAAAUUUAUUUUCAGUGUCGCAGUGAAAGCGAUAAACACACCGCCUGGGGAGUACGACCGCAAGGUUAAAACUCAAAUGAAUUGACGGGGACCCGCACAAGUAGUGGAGCAUGUGGUUUAAUUCGAAGAUACGCGCAGAACCUUACCAACACUUGACAUGUUCGUCGCGACUUUAAGAGAUUAAAGUUUUCGGUUCGGCCGGACGAAACACAGGUGCUGCAUGGCUGUCGUCAGCUCGUGUCGUGAGAUGUUGGGUUAAGUCCCGCAACGAGCGCAACCCUCACUUUUAGUUGCCAUCAUUUAGUUGGGCACUCUGAAAGAACUGCCAGUGAUAAGCUGGAGGAAGGUGGGGAUGACGUCAAGUCCUCAUGGCCCUUACGUGUUGGGCUACACACGUGCUACAAUGGUAUAUACAACAGGAAGCAAAACGGCGACGUUAAGCAAAUCCUCAAAAGAUACCUCAGUUCGGAUUGCACUCUGCAACUCGAGUGCAUGAAGCUGGAAUUACUAGUAAUCGUGGAUCAGCGUGCCACGGUGAAUGCGUUCCCGGGUCUUGUACACACCGCCCGUCACACCAUGGGAGUUGGUUCUACCUUAAGGCAAGGUUUUAAACCCUUGACCACGGUAUAGUCAGCGACUGGGGUGAAGUCGUAACAAGGUAGCCGUA